GCUGAUGCCAUGUCCUCCUGCCGUCCUCCCCACACGGUGGGGUGUGGCUCCAGGACCUUGCUUGAGACACCUGUGUGCCGCGCCAGGUCUGCCUGUGAUUCUCCUUUUGUUGAUGAGAAGUCAGCAGGACUUGUCCAAGGAAGCUCAUCAAACAUGGGCAGAAAGAGGACUGAAGCCCAUUCAUUCAUUCAUUCAUUAAGUCCCUUCUAUGGGUCAGAUGCUAUUCUAGGAGAUAUGACACAAUGACAAGAAAAACAGACAACAGUCCCGAUUCUCAUGAAGGUCCCUCCUUGCCAUCAUCCUGCCUCCAAAUAUGAAGAUUUAGCUCCCACCUGCUCCCUGCUGGGAAACCCCCACCUAGAAGUCUUUCUGCUGGCACGCCUACCCAUGCCAGCAACACAUGAUCAUCAUUAAAGGGGAUUGAUGAGUUCUGCAGAGGAGGCGGCCAAGGAAAAGUGAUUUCUCUUUGGUGAGGCUGACAACACCGCUGGCAUGUUAAGAGGCACCUGUCUAGGAGCCUCUAGGUAAAGCCAGAAGAACACCCCGAUGGCAGUGAAGGAUCUUUUGUCUCUGCUUCCCUCACCCAUCCUCCCACGGCGUCGGACAGGUGCAUGACCAAACAGAUGAAUCCAUCUCUCAAGUGCGUGCAGAGGCUGCAGAUGUAAUUGCAGAGGCCCCGCCAAUCGCAGGCAGGUCCUGAGGCCCCCCCUGAGAGCGCAUGACACUUGAGGUGCUGCGACUGGCAGGGAACCGGAGGGGAGCCUGGCUCCUCCUUCCUCCUGAGCCAAGGCUGUCUCGGGACUUUGCUGGGAGGAGAAAUGAAGGCCAUUUCCCGGGACAGAUGAAGAAUGUGGUUGCGAGAAGAGAAAUGCUGAGGCUGUGGUGCUGGUGAGAGGAAGGCUGAAAGCAAACAGCACAAACGCCAGAAGGGCAGGAGAGAGCCUGCGGGAGAGGAGAGCCAACCCCAGGAAGCAACCCAGCACCAAGUCCUGAUGAUACGGUUGGAGUCUCUGGAUCCAGGCGUGCCUAAAGCCAGUCUUCCUCUGGACUUUGAAUUUUUCUGAGCUAAUUAACACUCCCCCCUGCCACACUUUUUUUGGCAGUGCCCACAACAUUCAGCCAGGGAUCAAACUUGAGCCACAGCUAUAACCAGAGCCAUGGCAGUGACAAUUCCAGAUCCUUAACCUGCUGACCCACCAGGGAACUCAUCCUUUUUACUUGUUAGUUUGAAUUGGGUUUUCUGUCACCUGCAACCAAGGGAAUUCUGACUAAUAAAAGACCUUGGAGUCUACCUCAUUGAACCUCCUAAUCUUACAGAUGAGGAAGAGGUUUGAAAAGUUACAUUGAUGGAUUUUAUAUACAAUCAACUAUCCAAAUAGAGGAGUUCCCUGGUGGCUUAGUGGUUAAGGAUCUGGCACUGUCCCUGCUGUAGCUCAGGUUCGAUCCCUGGCCCAGGAACUUCUGCGUGCUGUGGGCUGUGGCUCCCCCAAAUUUCCAAAUACAUUGCCUCACUUGCUUUUUCCAGCUCACCAGAACAUGGGCCUGUGGUCCUCCUGCCUGGAUGGGGUCACAGAACACUGAUCUUGGUCAAAGAAUACCUAAUCUUUCUUCCACAGAGAGAAUUUCUUAAUUCAAGUCCACAGGAACCAGUUUUCCUUCGCAUUUACAAUGUUUUCAUCCUCCAAGCGGAACUGCUGAUGACCGUCCUUUCUCUUCCACACAGUGCAAUCAGCACAAUUAAUUCUCACCCCAAGGAGACAGAAAGAAGGAACAGAGCACUAAUUGGACGGAAGUAAUCAGAGUCUCCCUUAGUCCACGGUUGUGCCUGCAUGCAGGCAAGUAUGAGCAGGCACAUGGAGGCAUGCACGCACACACACACACACACACUUCUCCCAACGCCCAGUCAACCAAAGCACAAGGAGAGGGUACAGAGUGAGCAUGCUGUCUGAUCAGCAUGGGGCUGUAUAAAAAAAAGCAAGGACUUCUGAGCCACAAAGAUGCCACUGCUAUCCAGUCACUUAAACUUGGCCUCCUCAUUUGUAAAAAGGGGCUACACAGACCUACUUCAAAGCGGUUUGGAAGAUUAAAUAAGAAUACUGUACGCCAAGCCCUUUUCACUGGUGUGUAGCAGGAGCUCAGCAUGGGCUCGUUUCCUUUCCUUUCACCUCAAACACCUUUUAGAGCCGGUGGAGAAUAAAGGCCUAACGUGAUCUGAAAUUUUAGAUGCUUGAAUAUUCUCAAUCCAGCCAAACCUCCAGAAUCUCCCCUUAAUCCUAUGCUACAGUUCUCCCCUAGUCUGCCCCCCAACACACGCACACACACACCCUCCUGGGUCUUUCCUCUUAGGGACUGUAAAUUCUGGGAUGGCAGCCUGGUCUCCCCGUGGCCUCUCCCAGUACCCGGCAGGUGCACAGGAGACACUGAGUGGACCCUUGUUAAAUAACCAUCGACAGAGCCUGUGCCUUUGCUCGCGCUUGUUCUCCGCCUUAGUCUCAGUCCUGGUCAUCUUUCAGGGCCUCACCUAGACCCCACCAUAGCCUUCAUGAACCUUUUGAACCUCGUUCUUGGGAGCACUCUCUUCUCCGAAUGCCAUUCCUCUUUCAUAAUAACCUGCAGCUUUCCACCUGAGAUAGGAGAUACACAUGGGUGACAUAGGAUAUAUAGGGCAUAGGAUAUAUAGGGCUGUCUUGUCUUCCCUGUCUCCUCAAGUUCCUUCCAUCGAUCAUUCAGCCAAUUCCUUGAGCAGGUGUGUGCUCAGCACCAUGGAUACAGGGGCUGUGUCUGUGUGCUGUGCCACCUGUGUCUGUGUCUUGAGAUAAUCCAGGUUCAGACUAGUCCUUGAGCUCAGCCACUGUGUUUGACUCAUCUUCCGAUAUCCCAGGACUUGAUCCUCAAUAUUUGAUGAUGGCAAAGGGUCACCCAGGAGAGUACAUCUGGACUAGGACAUCAGUAGGUCUUAUGAGGGUACUCAAGACUAAUGAGCUUCUUGAGGUUGGCCACAGAUGUCCUUGGGCUUUCUGAGGGAAGGGAUUUAGUAUUACGGACAGAGGUCUGGGGGUCUCCCCCUAGAUUAUGUCACACAGGAUGCCUUCAAAUUCAAACACCCUGAAUCAGCUGAGACUUGGUAGCCGGGCAUCUGUGAUUCAUAAUCUACCGGCAGAAGCUCUGGCCUGAGGUAAGGACCACUUUGCCACCAGGUUUCACAGUGAUGUUGUACAAGCCAUUUACCCAUUCUGGAUCCACCUCAAUUUUACAGCACCAACCAUUAUGAGCCCCCACUAUGUUCCUGGCAUGACGCCUCGUCCUGGAGACACAGAGACAAGUCAGAGAGGAAUCGCUCCCUUCAAGAGCUCAUAGUCUGGUUGGCAUUAUGAAAAGGAACAUCAUAAAGAGAGGGUAGAACAUCUCUCUAAUAUGUAGUUCUUUGUUUUUAAAUCCUGAAGAGGGCUCCUCGCUGCCUUUAGGACAAAUUUCCAAUCUCUACCUGGAACAAAGACCUUUUAUUAUCCGACCCCUGCCUACCUGCCCAGCCUCUUCCCCACACACCCUGUGUCCUGUCCAUACUCCAGUGCAAGUCCUUCCCAAUGCUCCAUCCAUGUCUUUGCAAGUGGGAUGCCCUUCAAAAUUCUCUACCUGCUGAACUUCUGAUGAUCCUUCAACACGAAGUGAAAGUACCAAAAUAUAGAGGUAUGUGCGGGAGCAUCACCCUGGUAAAGUGAAAAUAGUUCUAAGUAAGAAAUGGUCUUAAGAAAGCCUCCCCCCUGCCUCUUUCUUCUUCUAUUAAAAGGGCAGAUUAGGUUGUAUUAGCUCUACCAACACUUUUGAAACUAGGCAGGACCCCACGGGCCCUCCCAGGUACAAAAGCCCCUCCUUGUCCCCUGUUUCUCAUUUGUGGAAAAAAAGCUUUAGUCUCCUAGACCUUCCCUGCGUUCCAAAGAGCAGACUCAAGGAGUUACUAAUGAGGGAAGCGAGGAAAUGCAGAAACAAAGGCAAAGCAGUCACGCAAGGAAAGCAAUGAGGGCUUAAACAGCAGUUCGGUGAUAAAACAGAGUCCAGCUCCUCCUGAAGGGAGCUGCAGAACACUUUGAUGCCUAUCUUUGAGUUCUUCUGCAGGAGCAAAACCCCAACAGGUGGACGAUGGUGACUACAUGCUGACCACAAGCAUAUAGGCUGGUUAGAACCAGAAGACUGAUUAAAAGAAAAAAAUGAUUCCCAAACAUCACCCUGUUACCUGACCACCAGCUACUCAGAAGAAAGGCCAUGAGGUGCUCACGUACCUAAACCCUCAUCCUAAAUGUUGCCUUUAAAACCUUCCCUGAAAACCAGUAGGGGAGUUUGAGUCUUCUGCUGCCUGUUCUCCCUUGCCUGGUGAAGUGACUUUUGCUCAAAUCAUCAAGCUAGAAGGUGGUGGAACUGAGAUUUGAACUGACUCCCAGAUCAUUAUGCUAAUGCCCAUGUUGGUUAUUCCCUCAAUAAUGCAUGAUUGAUGCUAACCGUGUGCCAGGCACUGUGCUAGGCACUGGGGUGCAAAACUUGGAGCAUGGUUGCUGUGGCUCAGGGCAGGUAAUGGUAGAGCAGGGCCAAAUCCCUUAUGUUGGUCCCUGGUCUCCAAGAUCUGAGGCUCUCCUGUCUCACUGCGUCACUUCAUCACCAGGAAGCUCCAUAGCCAUCUUCCCAGCCUCUCCCUCUCCCCAGUGAAUAGCAAAACGCUUCCUCAGAACAACCCCUUCCCCUGCCCUCAAAUCUUUUGCUGUGCCCACCGUGGAAAGAUAGCCAAGGCUGCUGCCAAGUUCAUUAAUAAUUUUGGCUUUCUGGAGGAAGGAGUUGGAUUGCUUUGCUCUUCAAAUAUCAAAACACCCAAUUAACACAGCUAAUUAGCAUCACUAGCAGCAGUCAAAAGAAUGGCAAUUUAGAUGCAGGAUUUCAAAGGUUUCCUAGUUGUAGGCCAAGGCAACCCAUCUCUUACUAAUGACAAGAGUCCCUCGCUUAGGCAAUUCUAUAGCAGCCAUCAAUUAGCCUAGCCACCAGGCAGAGACGGGCUGCAUCCCCGAGUCAUUUGUCUAAUCAGAACUGGGGAUAGAGAGAAAGAGACAGAAUAGGAGGAGGGAGGGAUGGAGGGAGGAUGGGGUGGGGGGAGGUAGAGGGUGAUAGGGAGGGAAAGAGGGAGAGAGAAAGUUAGAGGGAGAGGGGGAGAGAGAGACAGAGAAAGGGAAAUAAAGAGAGGGAGAGAUACAGAGAAAUAACACACAAAGACAGACAGUCUCAAGAGGCAAAAAAGACAGAAGUGGCGGAGAGAGUGAGAAAAAGGGAAACAAAGGGAGAGACACAAAGACACAGAGAGAGAACAAGAGAGACACGAAAGGUGGCUUACAGAUAGAUAAACAGCAAUCAUAUAGGUACAGAGAAAAGGAGAUACAAUUCUUAAAUGUAGAGAAGACAGGACAAAAGAUGUCUGACCACCUGUAGCUUUGGAAAAGAAGCUGAUCCCCGGGAAGCCUAGGGUUCUGAUCUGCAAAAUCAGGCUUAGCUCUAAGUGUUCAACUUAAAACUUGGCAAAGUUUGGCAACACCCAAGAGAGGAGAGAUGAGGAGACCCAAACCAGAGGUCCUUCUCGUCCCUUCUCAAUAAUACACGACGGUAUCAUUACCUUCCAGGAGCCUUGAUGAUGAGGUCACCAGUCCUUCCUCUGUGCACUUUCUCUCGUAAACCCAAUGGGCCCAGCAGCCAGGCCUCAAUCAGCCGGGACUGUCGUCUGCCUCAGGGAAGGGAAGCAGUGGAUCUCCGGAGGCCACCGCAGAAAGGGCGUCCGUGUCUUCCUCCACUUCACCACACGGCCUUAGCCCGGGUUCAGGCCUCAGGGUUGCAUCUCUCGAUUACUGCAACAGCCUCUGGUCCCUCCUUGCUGCUGUCCAAUCCCGUCUUAUUGCCAGAGAGCCAUUUGUAAGAUGUAGAUACAGCCAUGUCUGUCUCUGAUUUAAACCCCUUUUUAAUGAGUUCCGUACUUUCUCUAGAUCAAGAUCAAGUCCAAGCCCAUUAAACCCAGGAUUCAAGACCUCCCUCUGGGCUCUGGUUCCUGAAGUCUUCCCUAACCUUCCCUUGACCCAUUUCUCCCCACCCUGUACUCACCCUCCAAGCACACUAGAUGACAUGGGGCCCCUGCAUGACUCACACAUCUUGACCGCUGGACACGUCCUCAUGCAGACCGGCCCCACGAUACCUAAUUGAUCCCAGCUCCUUCUGUGUGGAUUUCUGUGUCUGUGCUUUUGUUUAGACAUGUCCCCUGCCCCUUGUUCUUUUUACAGCCCCAUCUGUUACCAUAUGGUACACAAGGGUCACAAGCUCAGAUGUCUUCAGAGGAUGGGCUUAUAGUAUAAAUAUGUGCAAUGACAGGUGUGAAACAAUAGGAGGCACAGCCAAAAACUGGACGGUGAAUGCCAAACUUUAAGAUCCUCAAACUCAACAUUAACCCAACCACCAACCAACUCCCUGCCAGCAAACAUUCUGGGCAGAUCGACCAUCUGCAGGAAGGCAUCAGCCAUGGGCUGCCAGUUGGUGAUACUCCAUCUGUAACUUAGAGCUUAGCUUGGCCCAGAAGGUCCUCCAUGCUCAGACUCUGUUUCCAUCUCUUGCAUCUGGUUCCCCUGUGCAGGGGCAUUUUCAUAGCCUCCACUGUCUCCUCCCCUCUGGCCCCUGCAGGGGUGUUAACUGUGUGUAAACAGCUGCAAAGAACACUAACGUUUACCGCGACUAAGCCAAUCCCAUCGUAAGCCUGGCCCAGGCAAGAUGUUAUUAAUCAGCAUUUUAAUGAAGCCUAAUUACAGCAGAUGAUGCCUCCUACCAGGUAAGACAAUGGUUGCAGAUGGGCGCAAACCAGGAUAUUGCUGCCCUCUCCUGGAACUUGCUCCCUGCAAGUGCCAGAGGGUAAACUCUAGAAGGACUGGCUGUACUGAGCAGAGUCUAGCAGAGGGCCCUCUCCUAGUAGGCAAGGACCCCUCCCCAGGGCCUACAGAGAGUCUGGCUCACCAUCCCUCCUGAGGUCCCCCCCCCGCCACGCCCUAUCCUUCCAGGUAUGACUGGCUCUCGAUUUCCAGCACCCACUCCUGAGUCAGGACGUGGUUAGGGGUUAGAGUCUUCGUAGGUUGUCUCGGUUUCCUCAACUCUCUGUUAGCUCUUUCGUCCUAUCUACUCCUUUUCUCUUUAAAAGUCUCCAGCACCAGGGACCCUCCCAGCCCCAUCCCCUAGGGCUGCUUAAUGGUUGCGAGCGCAGGCUAUGGAAUCAGAGGAUGCCAAUCCGACUCUGACACCCACCCCUACCAGCUGUGACCUUGGGAGAGCUACUUCUCUCUCUGACUUUCCAGGUCCUCAUCAGUCACAGGAGAACAAUAAUCUCUGUCCUGUCUUCUUCACAGGGUUGUCUGGAGAUUCUGGAAAAUUCCUAGGGCAGUGCCUGCCGCUUAGCCCAGUCCCUUCUCUCAUUCUGAGACGUCGCUGUGAAGUCAGUUGCUGGCUGAAAUUCUUGGCCCUUGCUGGUUGUUUCUUUCUUGAUUGGAGGAUGAAGUACGGAUUUCACGAUGCUCCCAAAAUCAUACCAGGAGGGAGGGCUCACUGGUCCGGGGGGGUAAACUGACCUGACUCCCCUUCUGUCUCUCCUCCUAGACACACUACCUGCUUAAUUAAUACAGUAAUUUCCUCGUGCUACUCUCUUGCUCAAGAACCUUCUCUGGCUCCUUGUUGCCUAUCAGUUAAAACCUCAGAUUAAGACGAUGGCAUUCAAGGCUUUCUGUGACCUGGUCCCAAAGGACUUCUCCAGCUUUAGCUCCUGAGUCUCCCUUGCCUGAACUCACAGGUCAAGACAGGCCAAUUUUUUAACACGCUCAGCUCCACCACUCAGCCUGUAUUCAGGAUGGUCUACCCUCCAGAAUGCCUGCCCUGCUUCGCUACUAAACUGUAAGCUCCUUCAUCAGACUGUGAGGGUGGAGGCUAUUUUGUUUUGCUUUCAGUUCAGUAUCAAUAGAGCUGGACACAGUGAAGUCCCUCAAUAAAUAUUUGUGAACGUGAACUAAGUGCGACUCUUUCAGAGUCUUCUUUAAAGUCCACGUUGGGUGCGCUGAUGUGGUCGGGCUCAGGAUCCGAAGCUCAGGAUCUGAAGCCGACAGACCUGGGGGCAGACUCACGCUCUACCACUGGGAUGGCUAAUUUUAUUUAGCAACUCGUCUAGGACACAAUGCCCAGCUAAGGGUUCAAAUAUUAUUCUAGAUGUUUCUGUGAGGACUUUAAGAGUGUAGCACUUAAAUUGGUGACCUUUAAAUAAAACAGAUGACCCUCCAUCACAUUGGUGGGCCUCAUCCCAUCAGUUGAAGGACUGAAUGAAAUAAAAGAUUGACUUCCCCUGAGCAAGAAGGAAUUUCUGCAGCCUUUGUACUUGAAUGAGAGCAUAGGCUGUUGCCCAGGUCUCCAGCCUGCUGGCCCACCCUGCAGAUUCGGGACUUGCCAGCCUCCAUAACCCCAAGAGUCAAUUCCUUACAAUAAAUUCCUUUUUCUACAGACACACAUCCUAUUAGUUCUGUUUCUCUGGAGAACCCGACUUACACGAUCACACAGCAGCAGUGCAUUUCUGUCACGUUAUUUUACCUGGCUCAGGCUUUGCUGUCUAAGCCGGAAAAUGAGAGGAAUUGUUCCUCCUUCACAGGGUUGUUGCGGUGAUUUAUUGAGACCCUGGCUGUGUAUGUGAGAGCCUUGUAGACUGCGAGCUCCUGUACCUUAUGGCUAAGUCUCGUUAUCAAGCCCCAUCACCUCCAGGACGGUGUCCCCACCUGCCCCAGCCCUAUUCAUUCACAGACAUUCCUGACCUCCAGGAGCAGUCUGGACCCACCCCCCAUGGUCUCUGUCCUUUCUUUUGGCAUCUAAGCUCUGGUGACACUGAGCACUGGGUGGGAGACAGAGCGGGUGGGGACAGGGGGCCCAGUAAAGACACCCACCCGGUAGAGACCAGCCUGGGGCAGCUUGCCAAGCUAGAGCAGAGGCUGCUGUGAAGGAUUCAUAUGCGGUGCUGCAGUCAGUUGGGUCCUGAAUUUAAAUGCAGCCCAUUGCUCUUUGUCUCGACAGGGUAAUAAAAAACCCUCAGACAAGAUCUUAUGGAUGCAGAGGUACAGCACUGGCUCGCCGCUCUCUGCCCACCAUCUGAGAGCACAGAGGCAUGUCUGGGGCCUGAAGGAGCCAGACCCUGUCCGGGAAACAGGUGGCCAGUUUAAACGAUGUAGGAUAAACUUGGCUGGAAGGCAGGGCUCCAGGCUGGCUUGGCUACCGGGGAGUCCCGGGUUCCUUCUGGGGCCAGGCGGAAGCAGCAGAGGCUCCCUGUGAGAUGCCAUCCUCCUGGUGGAUUACUGGAAUAGCCAGCGCCAAGCCAAACCGCACACUGGGGACUCCACCUGCCUGCAUUGGUUCUGCUGGGCUCCUGGUUGCCAAGGCUUGUCCCCAACAUGUCCAACAUCAGUGGGACAAGGAAGAGGUCUUUUCCUGCCUGAGGUCUCUUCCAGCACUCGAAGUUCCAGAUGUUCCCAGUUCCUGAGACAACAUCGGGUAUCCUGUCUCUGGCCGUGGCCUAGAAUGUUCAUUACGUGUCACAUCUGCCCAUCAGCUUCUCCAUCAGAUUGUACAUGCAACCUUGGAAUAUAAGGGCCUCCCUGGCUCCAUAUCUGUGUCCCCGGCCACCCAGCAUAUGGGUGUUCAGAAACUCCUCAAUAAACAACUGAGGGAAUAACUGAACAGAUGACUGGCCGGUAUCUGGGCUCUUGCGUUUUCUAUGUGCUCCCUUGCCUGUCUACCUGGACCCGGGCCCUCUGUGUGUGCUUUGACCCUGGGCCCCCGGGGUACAGCUCCAAACCCUGGGUCUGGGUUCCAGUAGAGCUAAGACACAUUGUAUACAGUCCAAGUCCUUUGACCCACCAUCCACCUUCUGGCUGCAAUUUGAGUUCAUCGAAUGAAUUGGAAAGGACACAAGAGACUCCUUGGUUCAACGGCACCCUUGAGGGAAGAAGCAAUGUCUUAUUUAUCUUUGAUUCCCAAUGCCCAGCAUAGGACCUGGCACAAAGUGGGUACUUGGUGAAUAUUUUGUUUGGCAUGAACUCCUGUCAUACUUUUACACAUACGAAAAUGAAAGCCCAGAGAGGGGAAAUGAGGUCGCUGAGUCACACAGUAAUUUUCUGUUGCUCUGGAUUCCAGUCUGGCUCCUCUGACUUCUGGGAGGUCAGCACCCGCUGGACCUUUCCUAAGGUCUCAUUUCUUGACACAGACCUAAGGUUAUAUGAAGUAGAACCUGAAUUACUUGUUCCAAAUUUGAUUCCAAAAUUGUUCCAAAUUUGUCUUUGAACAUUGAUGGAUCCAACAUGGAUGAAUUCAUGCUGCUUUAAAGCCAUGAAGGCAAAAGGCAACUGAUGUGGCAGCAUCAGAGCAGAAUUUGAAAGCUGAGAGAUCUGAGUUUAAGAAUCUGUUCAUUGCAUGACCUUGAGAAAAUUCCCUACCUGCCCUGCGCAUCCAUCUCCUCCCCCAUCUCCUGUUCCAAAUGGGGACCACAGUGCUUCACUUUCAGGGUUGUAGUAAAGAUGGACGCUAAUGUGUGCCACGUGCCUGGACCAUCUUAAUCUUAGAUGGUCAGUCACUCACAACGACGCUGUAUUUUCAGAUUGUACUUCCAAGCGGGCCUGCGGCACCAGGCAUCACCUUCGGAGCAUUUGCCCUUGCAAAGACGCUCAGUCUCUGUGCCCUGCCAUCCUGCUAUUUUAAUAUUCGCAGUGCCACUGUCACUCCAGAACAGCCACUGACCAUAAAGUUUGACAUUUUGAAGAUUAAAGUGCUUUGAAUUAGUCAUGCA
Non-coding RNA from Sus scrofa (pig), 10870 nucleotides. The record is from RefSeq and is a predicted model, not a curated record. Lineage: Eukaryota; Metazoa; Chordata; Mammalia; Artiodactyla; Suidae.